Amaranthus tricolor (Joseph's coat) is the source of this 70-nucleotide non-coding RNA. Lineage: Eukaryota; Viridiplantae; Streptophyta; Magnoliopsida; Caryophyllales; Amaranthaceae. The record is from the annotation of a RefSeq genome assembly.
GCCCGCCUAGCUCAGUGGUAGAGCGCAAUAUUUGGGAUUGUGGUCGUGGGUUCGAUUCCCACGGUGGGCA